ACAAAUUAGAGUGCUCAAAGCAGGCAGUUGCAAGCCUGAAUAUUGUGUGCAUGGAAUAAUGGAAUAGGACCUCGGUUCUAUUUUGUUGGUUUUCGGAACCAGAGGAAAUGAUUAAAAGGAACAAGUGGGGGCAUUCGUAUUGCGACGUUAGAGGUGAAAUUCUUGGAUCGUCGCAAGACGGACAUAAGCGAAAGCAUUUGCCAUAAGUGUUUUCAUUAAUCAAGAACGAAAGUUAGAGGUUCGAAGGCGAUCAGAUACCGCCCUAGUUCUAACCAUAAACGAUGCCAGCCAGCGAUCCGCCGAAGUUCCUCCGAUGACUCGGUGGGCAGCUUCCGGGAAACCAAAGCUUUUGGGUUCCGGGGGAAGUAUGGUUGCAAAGCUGAAACUUAAAGGAAUUGACGGAAGGGCACCACCAGGAGUGGAGCCUGCGGCUUAAUUUGACUCAACACGGGAAACCUCACCAGGCCCGGACACCGGAAGGAUUGACAGAUUGAGAGCUCUUUCUUGAUUCGGUGGGUGGUGGUGCAUGGCCGUUCUUAGUUGGUGGAAC
This 550-nucleotide ribosomal RNA is filed under the name Baculum irregulariterdentatum. RNAcentral describes it as "SSU rRNA". It matches the Rfam family "Eukaryotic small subunit ribosomal RNA", at positions 761 to 1307 of the family's 1831-position model. Lineage: Eukaryota; Metazoa; Arthropoda; Insecta; Phasmatodea; Phasmatidae. The record is from RNAcentral.